RNAcentral lists this long non-coding RNA (551 nucleotides) under Equus caballus (horse). RNAcentral describes it as "lncRNA (ENSECAG00000032949.3)". The record is from RNAcentral. Lineage: Eukaryota; Metazoa; Chordata; Mammalia; Perissodactyla; Equidae.
CUUGGCAGGGAGACACUGACCUUGGGGUUAAGCUUGCAGAAAGCCCACGUCAACAGAGGGAAACUCUGUGACCACCUGUGUACUUUGGCUAUUAUAGUGAGUACACAACAAGUGCAUACAGAGGCCUGGGAAAAGCACAGGGAAGCAGAAGUCAGGUUCCUGUGUGAUUCCAAGGUCCAAAGACACAGGUGCAGACUUUGGAGCAAGUGGAGAGCCAAGAGAAAGAUUCAGAGCUGGAGCAGAAGGCUGGAAAGAUCUGGGAGUGCAGCUGUGCUGUGUGGGAAGAGGGGUCUCCUAAAGGACAAACAGCUGUUUGAAUCAGACAGUGAAACCUCAAAAAAAAGGGAGCAAAGGGAGAUCAUUGUUGAUGAAAGAGGCAACGGCUAUUUUCGUGGGAUAUGUGCUUGACUCUGAGAAUAUAGUUUUGGACAAAGAAACCCAUAACCUGACUUAAAGGAGCUUACAAUAUGGAGCUGACUGAUAUUUGGGAAAGGAUCAGGAAAUGAGCUGGUGCGAUGGAGAAAACAGGGAAGACAACCAGUGAGUUUCAG